Molecule: long non-coding RNA, 8031 nt
Filed under: Homo sapiens (human)
Lineage: Eukaryota; Metazoa; Chordata; Mammalia; Primates; Hominidae
Description: HSALNT0016212
Source: RNAcentral
GUGGGUGACGCGGCUGCCGCGCCCGCUGGCCUUGCACCCGGGCGCCACGGCGUCCUCUCUGUGGAAAACAACAGGCGGGCGGGUGAGCGGGCUGCUCCGCAGCGGGGCGUGGGCACGGCCUGGGCAGAGCCGGGGGCUCUUGGCAACCUCUUGUCUCCCGCGCCUCCCUCCACCUGCCCUCGUCUCUCUCCCUCGGCCUCGACCUACUGUCCUUUGUGACCCUUCCUGGGUCGGCGACCCUGCAGCGGUCCCGGAGCCAGCAUCCCCAUCCUCCAGACAGGGCUUGUCCACGCGUAUCUGGAGAGCCCUGCAGGCAGCCCCCUCCAGGCCCCUGCAAUCCCUUUCUGAUGUUUCGCAGGCCCAGAAGAAGGCCCCUCCGCCGACCCCGCCGCCGUUGCCGUAGCCGAAGGCACCGCGGGCGCCGCCAGCCCCGGAGCCCCCGCAGCAGCAGCAGACGAGCCCCCAGAUGCCUACGGCCAGGCAGCCCAGCGCGAGCAGAGAGCCCAGGACGAUGCCGAUGAUCACGCCUAUACGCCGGGAGUCUGUGGAGAGAAGUGGAGGCAGCUCCAGGCCAAGAGAACAACAGCUCAUUCCUGAGAUAAGGAUCCUGCUGCCAUCUGCCAGAUCCUGAGGCUGCUCAAGGCAAGCCAGGGAUGAGCCAGAACUCGGCUGAGAGCAGAGGCUCCACCCUGGAGAAGCACCGCUGGAAGCACCCACACAGGAAGGACUCUCUCCAUGCCAUAGGAGCCUGCCAGGCAGGAUGGUAAGCAUUCAGGGAGAGGGGCUUGGGAAGGAGCGACAGGCUGCAAGAAAAGCACCUCCACCCUGCACCAGGCUGAGAGAUUCUUCAAUUGUCCCAGACCAGGGAGCCUCACCCAGCUUUUCUAUCUCCUUAGAAGUCUUCUCAACCUCCUCCCAAGGGUUCCAGCCUUUCCGCACCCCUCCCUCUCCUUGGGAAGUUGCUCCUAAUGUCUCACCUUGAUUCCUCUUGCUGUAGCACUAAGGAAGUACUACAGGGAAUGUGAGAGGAGAGGCUGGAGAGAGGGAAGAAAGGCAAAGUGGAAGAGAGAGCUGGAUGGGAGACUUGAGGAGAGACAGGAAUGGAGGAAUCACAUGGGCUCUCCAAGGAAGAGGACAGUGGUGAUUCUUUGCCCCCCAAAAGCACCAGAAACUGGCCAUGCUUUACGGGGUGUCAUCUCAAUAGUGGUGCCUACUCUCUGCUUGCAAAUUCUUUCUGAAUCUUCAAGGUGCUUCCAGAACUCCUGAUCUUCCCUCUGGAGGUAAGGGAGGGGAGAAAAGGCGGCUCCAGCUGAGGGUAUUGAUGCGUUAAUGCAGCCAGUGCUGAGUUGUCCUCACACACCCAUUGACACACCACACAGGGGGAAGUCCGGGUCCCCACAGCACAGCUGGAGCCUCCCGAGUGGACUCUGCCAGCCCUGCUCUCAUCAGACAGAGAAGGGCUGCAGCUAUCCUGCCGGAAAUGUCAUCAUUCCCAUGCAGGUGCACGCACCCACACACUCACAUACACAUUCACGCUCACACAAAGGCUGAAAAUGUCACCCCGCCUUCCCAAAUUCCUCCUUCAUGCCCCUUCAUCCCAAAUCCAGACUGCAAGAGGGACUCGGAGCCCUUUCCAGUGAUGUUGGCAUAGAAUGCCCCUUGGUGGAACUUGCCCCAACCUGGGCAGGAAGCCACAAUGUCCAAACUUGAGCCCUGCCCUGUGGACCUGUCCUGGUGGGGUGAGAAGUCUCUGGAGUUGCCAUCCCCACCACCCUCAGGCCUCAUCCUAGAGUGGGGCACUGCCCUGUCAUAGCACAGGGGGCCCAAGGCUGAGGUCUCAGGCCUGAGCUGUCACUGGCCAUGAUGGAAGAAACCACUCAGACUUACACCAGACUUAGUCUCUUGCCCUUUCAAGGCAAGUGACUUCCCUGCCCCUUGGCCCUGGCCUUGGGAGAGAAGGAGUAGCGUUGGGAAUAGCACACAGUCUGAUGAAAAUUGAUCCUUCCCAAGCUCCUCCUGAGCCCUCACCCAAUGCCCGUGCUUACCCCUCUCCUACCCCACCUCCAGCUCCUGCAGAGCAAUCAAUCCCUCUCCUCCUAGUCACGGCAUGAGCUUGCAGGGCACCUGCACACAUGUGUGAGCCCGACAGGGGACAUAUAAAGAUCCACUCAAAGACCUCUGCACUACAGACACACACCCUGAACAUCAGGCACAGGGUCUCCUGGGGAAAGGUCCCCUGGUAAUACCCACACCCGGCUGCAGCAGGGCAAGGGUGGGCAGCACCCUGCCAGGCAACUCAGGCAGCCCCAGGCUCCACUGUGAGCCCUUGCUGCCCCUUUCCUUCCCACCUAGCCUCAUGCUGGCUACCCUGCCCCCUGCCCAGCCCCGUACCUGGGCUCAGGCACACGAGUAGAAGGUGGAAUGCUCCUCCAACUCUCAUGUCUCUAGGCUCGGUGUUUCCUCCGUCUGGGCUGGGUAUCCCGUGGGGUCGUAGUGGUGGGUGUGAGGGGGUAGGUGGAGGGAGGGGGAGCUGAGGGCCCAGACACUGCCUGGGGUGGCAGGAAGGUGCAAUGAGUGCCCAGCUGGGGAGCAGCUGGAGUUAUUUCUAUGGGAGGGAGGGGGCCUGGUCCCCGCCUUGGGGAGGAGUCCCAGGAACCCUAAUUAGCAGGGUGACAGGGUGGCCUACCUGGGCAUUACCCAGCCCUCACCCAAGCUCUUCCCUGUCCUAAGAGUGGCACAGGACAGCCAGCGGGACUUGUAAUUAGGCACCUGUUAAACUUCACUUCCUCCUGGCCACAUCCUCAGGGUGACAACAGUCACCUCAUUUACAGCUUCCAAGGGCUCCCCUCACCACUCAUUUGCUGCCUCCUUCCCUGGGGGAAGUGGGGAAGAGGAAGGAGAAGCCAGGCUUGGGAGAAAGAGUGGCCAGGACCUGAAGAGUUAAUCCUGAUCCCAGGGCAUAGGGUUCCCCAGGAGUGUCCAGCCCACCUUCCCCCAGGCUUCAGGCCUUUCAAAGGGACUCAGGCCUCCUGAGCUGAAAGAGGAGAGAAGGGGUGUGUGCAGGAACAGAGUCUCCUCCUGGCUGUCCCCUCUGGAACUGUCCUCCACACCCAUACUCGACUCAAGGCCAUCCCCAAGUGUAGGGGACCCCUGGGAGCAGGGGUGCUAUGGGGGGUCCAGGGUGUGUGCUAGGAGUAAGGUGACUGAUGGGCUAGUGAGGGAGUGUUGGAGAGAACAGCGCCAAGAGGACCAGGGAAGGGGGUGCCUGUGUAAGCGUGUGCACCCCUCAGCAAUGUCUGUGGGAGGGAGGCAGGAUGUCUGUGUCAGGGUGUCUCUGUGAGGAUGGCUAAGCCCCUCUGAGUGAACUUCUUGAGGGAUCGCUUGGUGUCCUGGCUUCUCUGCCCAGAAAGAGUAGCCAGGUCUUGAGGGUUAAUGCAGUCCCAGUAUUAACUGGGUCCUUGAGACCAAGGACCCUCAUAACCUGGACUGGUCAUCGGGCUGACUAAACCAGCACAGUUCUGGGUAAGUUCGUGCUGGGGUGGGGAGGGUCCUGGUAGGCAUGGGGAGCAAGUGAAGGGCCACCCCUUGUUGGCUUGUCUAAGGGGGACAGAAUGGGCAUGUGCCUUGUUGGACUCCAUGGUGGGAGUCAGGACAUGAGUGACCCCAUUCAAUAGCUCAACUCCCUCAAAGGAGUCAGGGACUGCCCCCAUCCCUACCAUGGGGCACAGAAAGGGCAGAGGAGGAAGAGUGUUAGGGAGAGUUAUGGGGCUCAGGGAUGCUGCCAGGGCCCACCCCUCUGGGGAAAAAUAAGUCAGAACAUUAAGGAAACACAAGGAGUCCACGCGUCUCUGCAUUCCAAGCCGUUGCACCUGAACUCCCAACAAUAACAGGGCGCUCUGAGACCUACCAGAUGUACACAAUGAAUAUCUUUAUUUCCUUAUUUAUUUUUAGGUUUAUGGGAUUGUCCUGCUCCCUUUGAAGAGCAGGGAUCAUUAUCCCCAUUUUACAGAUGGGGAAACAGAGACCUGGAGAAACAUGGGGAUUCAGCCAAUGCGGCUGGUGCCUAAGCUGGGAUACCCAGGUACCCAGGGUGUCAGUCCAGAGAGGUCCAAAAAAUGGUCUUGGUGAUCCUGUGGAUUACUAGACCCACUCACGAACAAGAACCAUGGAAGGUCAGGGUGAGUGGGAGGGAAAACAGGUCAGACCACGAACAGAGAGAUUGAGGAGAAAGCAGUAACAUUGUGGUUCCACUAAACUACAGUGCAGGCUUCAGAUUUAAUUGGGUUCUGGAUGUGGGCUAAUGUUAGAGCUGGGGUUAAGUUUGGGGUUAGUUGAAUUAUGAAUGAGGUUGAGGUCAGAUUUGAGGUUGGGAUUAGAGUUAAGGUUGGGAUUAGGGUUAGAAAUACAGCUAGAAUUGAGGCUCAGGUUUAUGGCUGGGAUUUGUGUUACGAUAAGGAAUAGAGUUUUAGUUUCAUUUACAGCUCUGCCUGGGAAUACAGUUAGGGCUAAAUCAAAGGCUGGGUUUAGAUUGAUUUAGCAUUGGGUUAGAACUAAGUUUGAGAUUCACAUUGAAAUAGGCUGUGGUUAGGGUUGGAACAUGGUUUAAAGACACGUAAGCAGCGGGAGUUGAUGGGGAUCAAAGAUGAGGUUUUAUUUCUAAUAUAGAAAGACUUCAGCCUCCAUCUGCUAAAUCCAGGUUUGGCUAGAAUUUUCAAUCCUUAGUGCGGGGAGACUACUAAUGGCACAUGUUGAUUGGGGUCCCAAGACUUGGAGGAGGAAGCCAAAUGUACACGAGCCCAUCUAAGGGGUAUGAGGCAACUAAAUCCCAUAGAGAAUGGACCCUCUGAAGUCCUGCUCCACUACUAAAGCUCACCACCUGGCCAAGCUCCAGAAAAACAUCUGGGGAGGAGACGCAGGAAGCUACUGACAAUGAGUUGGGCUCUGACACCAAACCGAACUAGAAGAUGGGGUCCAUCAGAGGGAGUCUUACUGAGUGGGGAGGAGGGGUGGUCUGGAUUUGGAGUCCUUAGGAGAUGGGAGUUGGGAGAAACUGAGGGCCUACAUGCUCCUAGAACAGCCACUUUAUGGGGCACCACAUGGGGGUCUUUCAAAGCCUGAAAGGGCAGAGUGCCAUUGUUGUUUCCCCUUGACCCUCUGAGGCUUAAUUGCUACCUUCUUGCAAUUUGAGUCCUAUAAAAGAAGCUGUCAGCCUUCCAGCCCUAAACCCUGAGCCCUGCAGGGUUUUCAGGGAGGGCAGCAGUGGGGAGGCUGUGGAUGGGGUGAAGGCACUGGGGUGUCAGCAUAGUUUCCAAAGCAUAUGUCACAGUCCUACAGUCCCCUCCCUCUGGGCCCAGCUCACAGUCCGUGUAAGUCUCUGGGCCUUAUCCUCAGCAGUGGAAGAGGGCCCCACUCCUAGGAAGACCCCGUCCCAAUUCCUCCCUCUCAUUUUUCCCCAACCAGUCUCCAGCCCAAACAUCUCAUUUCCCCACCCACUUCCUUUUCAGGUUUUAUAAAGGUCUGGUCCAGGAGACUACUGGGGUUCCCCCUGUGACCCCAGAGAGAGAGAAGAAAGAGAUUGGGAGAGAUAGUGAUGGUCUAAAUGGCCCCUCCAGAGACUCAGAGGGAUACAGAGGAGGCAGAGGGCCCAGGCCACGAGCUGGGAACCAAUACAAAUUUCCAAAAGGGCCCCUUGCUUUUUCCUAAGAAAUCCAUGACUCUCCAGGGAAGAAUGGCCCUGCUUUGACUGGUAUUUGCUUCUAUUCUAAGACAGUAACAGAAAAUCAAAGACUGGCUUAGAAAGGAGUAAACAGGGAGAUACAGGAGGUAGGAAGAGGCUGGACAAAAACUCAGAGAAGGCCACAGAUUGCUUACCAGAUGAAGUGCAGCCCAGCCCCAGAACCUUUCUGGGAAGGACGGACAGAGGGCUUGGGCUGCCUACUCUUCCUCCAAAGCCUAUUCUUCCUCCAAAGUCCCUUUCAUGGCAACUCCACCCCACUCCUCUAAGCCCUGCCCUCCCCUGCCUGUACUUGCCCACCCCAACCCCUCUCAGUGGCCGCCAGACUCCCUGGGCUCAGGCUCAAUCAAGCUCCCCACAACCCCUGCCUUGGCUGGCACUGCAAUUUGACUCAUUCUAAACUCCUCCCCACACAGUCAGCAAGCUCCUCAGCCCCCUCUCCCAAGUCCCCAUGUAGCCCAGGGCUCACCCUGCAGCACCCAGGGAGGAGCUGUCCUGCAGAGGAAACCUCUGAGGUAAGACUCUGGGAGCAGAAGCUGUGAGUGACAAUGGAUAGGCAAAGAGUCACAGAGAAGCCAAGGAGCCUUGCAGCUGCUGUCUGUCCACCCAGCUUUCAGUGAUGAUUUGGAGGUGGAGGUCUGCCAGGACUAGAUGGCUCCAAGAAGGAACCCUUCCUCCCUUCCUCUGGCUCCAGGAGUGGCUGCAGGGCUCUAGCCACAUCUGGCCACUUGAUGCCACGGCUGACCAGACAUGCUCAGUAAGGGGCCGCAGUCCGACACAGCUCCCGGGGUGUGUGCUAGAUGUGCCUCUCCAGCUUGUGACACAGGAAAACUGCUGCAGAGUGAGAGUCUUCUAAAUGGAUUAAGAAGCCUAUCUCAAUCCCUCUGGAGAGUCCUCUUCAAUUCACAAUGAAGAUGUUGAAGAGCAGGGACAGACAUCAACACUCCUCUCCCCACCUUCCCCACUGGCAGAGGCAUUCAGGUCACUACUAGUGUCUCUCUUUCUCUUUUCCCCUUCUCUUAAUCUCUCACUGCCCUUCUCUCCAUGUCAUAUUCUCUUUUUCUCCUUCCCUCUCUUCCUUCUUACCUACUAAACUCCAUAUGUACCAAAAUCAGUCAAAGCUCUACUAUCUAGCUCUCUUUAUCUAGACUAAAGGAGUUGUCCACCUCUUGGUCUAGAUAACACUUGCAAAUAAAGACCUGCUCGUUUCCCAAAGCUAAGUAAUUGUUUUAGUUGAGCAACUGGGAAAGGAGGAUGGUUUUGUGUUGUACUCUGAUGCUAUUAUCCUUGGAUGGAGCGGGGAAGAUGUUGCUAUUGUCUGCAAGCUUAGCCCAUCAGCCCUGCAAUGUUUCCAUCAUGGAGCUCAACUGAGCAACUAUUGCACUCUCUGCAGCUGAGCCUCCCUUUUGACAUUAUAACAGAUUUUAAACACUGUGAAGACAUGAGAGAUUCUAGGGUGGAAGAAGCUAGGUGUCCCUGUUUACAUAGGCCCCACUAGAUCCCAAAGCUCUGCAGCUCAGGUCUCAGAAUUCCCCUUUGUCUUCAGUCUGAGAGUUACCUACGAGAGCAAGGUUACUCAGCAGAAGCUUUGCCCUGAGCUACAUUUUUGGGCCUCUGCCUGCAGGUGGCAUCAACUUGAAAGGACUUGUUGAGGAUUACCUUGAUAUCUCCAAAGAGGCUCUCAUCCACCUCAGAGCUCACGGCUUUGGUCCGAUAGCGAGCCUUAUUCCUUGACCUGUUGGAAGCGGCAGAAGAGGAGCUCAGGAUGCCAGCUGUGCUUAGUGGCUGCAGGAAGAGGCAGAAAGUUUGGGUCAUCAGUACUGAGUGGCAUCCAGACCCUGGGAAGUCAACAAUUCACCAGCCCAUGCUGGGGGAGUGGGUGGGCAUGUGAAAAAGAAACAGUUAGGGAAAGCGGCUGUGUAAACUCUGAACCAUAGGGGACAAGGAGCAACAGAUGGAGGGCAUCCCCACAGAGCAGGGAAGGGUCUCUGCAAAAAAAAGAGCUCUGCAUAAAGCAGCAUUUGUGUAAAACAGUUGAUCUCAUAGAAGUACAGAGUAGAAUGGUGGUUACCAGAGGCUGAAGAGAGGAAGGGGAGGGGCAUGGGGAGAGGUUGGUCAGUGAGUGCGCAGUUACAGUUAGAUAGGAGGAAUAAGUUCUGGUGCUCUAUUGCACAGAAAGGCCACUAUAGUUAAUAAUAAUGUACUGUAUAUCUCAAAAGAGAUACACAAUAUCUAGGAGAGGAUUUUGAGAAAUAUAAAUGUUAUAAGAUUAAAUGAGAUGGCAAGGUCUAGUAUUU